Molecule: ribosomal RNA, 343 nt
Filed under: uncultured bacterium
Lineage: Bacteria
Description: bacterial SSU rRNA
Rfam family: Bacterial small subunit ribosomal RNA
Source: RNAcentral
AAUUAACGCUGGCGGCGUGCCUCAGACAUGCAAGUCGAACGCGAAAGUUCCCUUCGGGGGAUAAGUAGAGUGGCGUCCGGGUGAGUAACACGUAGGUAAUCUACCUUUGGGUGGGGAAUAACAACCGGAAACGGUUAGCUAAUACCGCAUAAUGCAGCGGCACCACAUGGUGACAGUUGUUAAAGCGGGGGAGUCNCAAGACCUCGCGCCUAAAGAGGAGCCUGCGGCGGAUUAGCUAGUUGGUAGGGAACGGCCUACCAAGGCAACGAUCCGUAGCCGGCCUGAGAGGGCGGUCGGCCACACUGACACUGAAAUACGGGUCAGACUCCGUACGGGAGGCAGC